Molecule: ribosomal RNA, 468 nt
Filed under: uncultured bacterium
Lineage: Bacteria
Description: partial 16S ribosomal RNA
Rfam family: Bacterial small subunit ribosomal RNA
Source: RNAcentral
GACGAACGCUGGCGGCGGGCUUAACACAUGCAAGUCGAACGGAAAGGCCCUGCUUUUGUGGGGUGCUCGAGUGGCGAACGGGUGAGUAACAUGUGAGUAACCUGCCCUUGACUUUGGGAUAACUUCAGGAAACUGGGGCUAAUACCGGAUAGGAGCUCCUGCUGCAUGGUGGGGGUUGGAAAGUUUCGGCGGUUGGGGAUGGACUCGCGGCUUAUCAGCUUGUUGGUGGGGUAGUGGCUUACCAAGGCUUUGACGGGUAGCCGGCCUGAGAGGGUGACCGGCCACAUUGGGACUGAGAUACGGCCCAGACUCCUACGGGAGGCAGCAGUGGGGAAUAUUGCACAAUGGGCGGAAGCCUGAUGCAGCGACGCCGCGUGCGGGAUGACGGCCUUCGUGUUGUAAACCGCUUUCGCCUGUGACGAAGCGUGAGUGACGGUAAUGGGUAAAGAAGCACCGGCUAACUACGUG